AUGCUUCAACUGUUCUUCACGGUUGCUUUCUCUGUUGUUCCUUUGACUCUUUAUAUUCCACCAAUCAGAAGCUUGAAUCUCUUUGUAGAAACCAUGGAAUAUGUUAUGAGAGAAUCUACAACACAUAGCAACAGAAUCUAUCCUCGUUUAAGGAUAGCUUGGUCUAGGAUGUUGAAUUGUUUGCUAUGCAACAACACAAGGUAG
This is a non-coding RNA of Vicia faba (fava bean), 204 nucleotides long. NCBI's taxonomy places the organism in Eukaryota, Viridiplantae, Streptophyta, Magnoliopsida, Fabales, Fabaceae. The record is from the annotation of a GenBank genome assembly.